Molecule: ribosomal RNA, 385 nt
Filed under: uncultured bacterium
Lineage: Bacteria
Description: partial 16S ribosomal RNA
Rfam family: Bacterial small subunit ribosomal RNA
Source: RNAcentral
UGGGGAAUUUUGGACAAUGGGCGAAAGCCUGAUCCAGCAAUGCCGCGUGUGUGAAGAAGGCCUUCGGGUUGUAAAGCGCUUUUUGNCCGGAAAGAAAUCCUUGGCUCUAAUACAGUCGGGGGAAUGACGGUACCGGAAGAAUAAGCACCGGCUAACUACGUGCCAGCAGCCGCGGUAAUACGUAGGGUGCAAGCGUUAAUCGGAAUUACUGGGCGUAAAGCGUGCGCAGGCGGUUUGCUAAGACCGAUGUGAAAUCCCCGGGCUCAACCUGGGAACUGCAUUGGUGACUGGCAGGCUAGAGUAUGGCAGAGGGGGGUUAGAAUUCCACGUGUAGCAGUGAAAUGCGUAGAGAUGUGGAGGAAUACCGAUGGCGAAGGCAGCCCCC